RNAcentral lists this long non-coding RNA (3339 nucleotides) under Homo sapiens (human). RNAcentral describes it as "HSALNT0391819". Lineage: Eukaryota; Metazoa; Chordata; Mammalia; Primates; Hominidae. The record is from RNAcentral.
GUCACUACUGGGUGGAAGGAAGAAGCGGGCAUUUCUUCCAGGAGGUCACCGUUGGAGUCCCACAGUAGGUCAACCCCAGGCCCUGGGUCCUCGGGAGGAGGAGAAAGAAGAGAAGCAGGAGGUGUGGAGGGUAGGCCAGGACCAGAAGGCACACAGGGUCGGGGCAGUGUGGGAGACCCUGGGGGCUCCCUCAUUUAACCAGCUAACAUCACAGCGUUCAUAAGAACACGCUAUUACUGCAGUUUUAUUACUUUGCUCUGAUUUCAGAAGGCACAACUGAUGACUUUAGGGAACGGAGAAUCUGAGGAAGGCCUCGCAGGAGAGGGUCAGAUGCGAUCGAGUAAAUGUGAGCCGUCUGUAAACUGUAGAGUGCACGCACAGCACCGGUCAGCCCUGGGGUCAGUGUUCCCCUGGUGCUCAGCUCGGCCUCUGCACCUUUUAGUGCUCGGCUGGGCUCUGUGGGGGUCAGGGCUGGGUCUGGUACAUUAGAGGACUUCUACCAAGCCCCUGGCAGUGUCUCAGUUACUAAAUCCAGUUUGCCAGUUACUAAAUCCGCUCUGCCGGUUCCCGAAUCACUCUUCCGCUGGGGCCGGCCAUGUCACGUCAGGCUUUUCAUGCAGGACGGCAGAUGGAUAGACGCUGGGACCAAGUCAUCCUUGGGCCGCGAGACGUCUGACCUUCUGCUGGUGUCUCAGAAGAUGCUAGCUCUCCGUGGCAUGUCUUCCACGCGGUGCUUGGGGACCAGUGGCCUCUAAGGGGCCCCCCUGCCUCAGCGUGGGGAGUGGCCUGGCCAAGGUCUCAGUGUCUGGUUGGAGCCAGGCAUAGGCUCAGGUGUACUGGCUGGAGGCCUCCUGCCCAUGGGCUCUGCCUGUCCUGUGUCCCUGGUCCUUACUGUGUCUUCUGUGUUCCUGGGAGAGACCCCAGGGGCCCUGAGCCCAGCACUGGGGUUGGGGAGUGGGCGGGGAAGAGGGUGGGGAUUAGGGUCCCUGGCUGCAGAACAGCCAGGCCCCAAGUCCCCACUCCACUCCCCUCCCACCGGGCGCCUCAUCCCACACUGACCAUUUCCUGAAGAAAAUUUCCUGAACCGGCCUCCCACCCCGGCUGUCCCAGGAAGCCCAUCCAUCCUUCCGCCUUAAUGCUUUGUGGCUCCAGAAGGAUGGUGGAAGCCGGAAAUCAUGAGUCUCAUUCACAGGCGGCCACACACCGAAGCCGCGGAGACGCCGUGGGAAAGGACUCUGGCCAGCGCGGCCGGCACAGAGGGAGCGGUGUUACCGGGGUAGACGGGAACCGUGGCUGCCCCCAUGCUGGUCUGGGAGAGACGAGGGGCCGGACGAAAGGACAGCAGACUGGCCAUUCAUUCAUUUAUUCAUUCACUCAUUCACAGCGUCUUACUGGGUGCUUCGGACGUGUAAGGUUUUGUGGGUAGUGAAUGCGACAGACCCCAGACAGCAAUCGGAGGGCCACGUGUGUAAGAACUGAGGGACCUAGGCUGGGCGUGGUGUCUCAAGCCUGUAAUCUCAGCACUUUGGGAGGCAGAGGCGGGCGGAUUACGAGGUCAGGAGAUCGAGACCAUCCUGGCUAACACGGUGAAACCCCGUUUCUACUAAAAAUAUAAAAAAUUAGCCGGGCGUGGUGGCGGGCGCCUGUAAUCCCAGCUACUCAGGAGGCUGAGGCAGGAGAAUGGCGUGAACCCGGGAGGCAGAGCUUGCAGUGAGCCCAGAUAGUGCCACUGCACUCCAGCCUGGGCGACAGAGUGAGACUCCAUCUCAAAAAAAACAAAACAAAACAAAACAAAACAAAAACUGAGGAACCCAGUGUAGAUGAGCUAUCCCGGGAAAACAAGUGGGAGUUCUAGGAACAGCAUGGGGAAGGGAUGGUCCCGGCAGGGAGGACCUCUGUGGGUAGCCUUGUUGGAAGAGCUGAAAGGCAGCCAGAGAGGCUGUGCGUGGAUGGAAGCUGAAGAGUAGGUUAGGGGCGUGUGUUUUGUUAACAAAGACUUCAAGCAUUUACUGACCAGGCACAACACUAUGUGCUUCAUAAAUAAAUAUCUCAUUUGAUCCCCAGCAUUCUUAUGAGACAGAUGUUAUUAUCCCAUUUCACAUGUAAGAACAUUGAGGCACAGAGUGGUUAAGUUACUUGCUCAGGGUCACACAGCACGUCGGUGGUAGGCAGGAUUCUGGAGCCACAGGAAUCUGGUAUAUCCCAGGUGCAAUGGAAACCAGUCACGGCUUCAUAGAGGGAAAUCAUCAGAUUAGUAAAUUUUACACACGCCCCCUGGUGCUUUGAGGAGGAGGGAUUCGGACAGGGGCAGCUAAUGGUGGUGGCUGUGAGAUGUGUUGGGUUAACAUUGAUGAGAGUUUGGGAUGGAUGAGUGGAUUCGGAGUAAUGGAAAUGGAGGGCCCAGGCCCGGCCCCUGGAGAUCUAGCUGCAAUAGCUGUUGGCUGGAGAGGCUGUUCACUUAGAUGGGGGAUGGGGUGGGAGGCAGGUGAGAUGAGAGCUCCAGAGUUCAGCCUGGGGCACGGUCAUUGGGUUCAAGAUGCCUUCAGAUGUUGGGGCUUGACAGUGACAGUGGCUGCAGAUACCCAGGACCCAGCAGAGGGCCUGGCACAGCGGGGCCCAGGGACACGUCUGUGAGUCAGGCUGGCACUCAAGUGUGAAUCUGGACAAAGAAGGUGGCAUUGUUGGCAUUGAAUGCUCAGGGGCUGGGUGAAGUCAGCUAGGGAGAGGGGCUCUCAAGGCACCAGGACUGACUCCGUGGGUGAGGGCGGAGGAGGAGACGGCAGAGGCUGAGAGAAUAGCCAGAGACAGGAGGAAGGUCAGCAGAGCCAUGCACAGAAGCCUGGAGAAGAUUUGAGGAAAGGAAGGGCUGGGUGGUCGUCAUUCCCUGCAGCUAGGAGGCAAGGGUGACCCCUGUGUGUUUCAUUCUUCAGAGGAUUGGUGGCUCCAUCUGGUCAGAACCCCAAGUCCAGAGAUGCAUCUGAGCUUCAUGCCAUGGUGCAGGCAGCAGGAGCCAUGGAGCAGGCCUGCGGGGUCACGGCCUGCCUGCUGCUUCCUGGUGUCUCUACCCUGAGCUCAGGGGUUGCUUGGAUGCCCUGUGCUGCAUCCCCCCAGGCGGUGUUCCAGAGAGGAUGAAAGUGGCUAUCUCAAGGUGUGACCAGGAUUCUGAGCAGCUCUUCUGGGAGGUGGGUGCAGUCCAGGUAGGCUGCCUGCAAAGCUAGGACCGAGGGAGCCACAUCCAAGGCACUGUGGGUUCCCAAGGCGAUGGCACUGUGGGCCCACUGCUUCCAGACCUCCUCAACUCCCAGGCUCCUGAGCAGGAGGACUCCUGGGGCAGGGCCU